This 1024-nucleotide long non-coding RNA is filed under the name Ricinus communis (castor bean). RNAcentral's name for it is "long non-coding RNA (RCOM_LNC002823)". The record is from RNAcentral. Lineage: Eukaryota; Viridiplantae; Streptophyta; Magnoliopsida; Malpighiales; Euphorbiaceae.
UAGAAUAAAAUAUCAUAUAAAUAUUAAUUUAGUAUAGUGUCACGUGAGUUUUGUUUUCUAACCAAAACCUUGCCCAUGUGCGGCCUAGCUUGCUUGAUUUCCCCGAAAGUCAAGAUAGCUAGUCAGCCUACCUUUGAUUGCCAAACCCGGCAGAAUGAUAGCAAAUAUGCUAGCGGAAGUAAUUUCACGAAAGUGGCACAAAGAGACGCAAGAGUUAUGGAAGUGUAUACUUAUAUUGAUUAAUUCACACUAAAGCUACUUACAAUGAGCACACUUUCUCUCUCUACAAGCUCUCUUCCUCUCCUUUUCUCCAUACAAUAUGUAUUAAUUUACAUAACUACUUCCUACAACAAUCUCUACAUAGAGCAUCUUUCUUUGCUCUAUGUAGAGCAACAACACUCUUUCCCUCUAUAUGGCUACAUUUUGGCACACCUUGUGCCCACACUCUUCUUUUAUUUCUGCCCUUGUUCCCUUUUAUGGACUCUCACUCUUCAGCCCUCUUCUUUUCUCUCUCUCUUUCUCUUUCCCUCUUCCUCCCUUCCAAAUGAUACAAGGAAGGGGUAUUUAUAGUCUUUUCCCCCUGUCCGCCAACAUGGCCGUGUUCCAGGCCGUGUUGGAAACACAGUUUGGGGUAAUUGGCCGUGUUACCUACUGUGGCCGUGUUUCCCGAAGCUUCUAGGCCUUUCGCAUUUGUAUUCAACCAACACAGGCGUGUCCUUGGGCGUAUUCGUCAACACGGGCAGGGUUGAAACUAACACGGGCGUGUCCUUGGGCAUGUUGGUCAACACGGGCAGUGUUGAAACCAACACGGCCGUGUCCGUCCAUACGGGCAUUCUUUAGGCAGUUUUCGGCGCAUCGGUAGCCUUCCUGGCCUGGUUGCGAGGCGGGCACGUGACAAUAGGGGGUUACUUAAGUUGUAAUGAGUCUUAUUUGUAUUAUAACAUAUGAGUAGUUUAAUAAGUAAAAUGGGUUGACUAAAUCAACCAGUUUAAUAGAUGUUGACAGAAAAUUAAGAAGAGAGAAC